AUCUCGCUAGCCCUGCGCCCGACUAGCGGGCUUCUGGGAACUUGGCAGACGCAGCUUAGAGAGACUCACCAGCGAGCGUCAUUGUUGUCUUUCUGGGAACUCAUUCCCAUGAGAUCAGAACCUCUUCGAAAAAAGAAGAAGGUAGAUCCUAAAAAAGACCAAGAAGCAAAGGAGCGCUUGAAAAGGAAGAUCCGAAAACUGGAAAAGGCUACUCAAGAGCUAAUUCCUAUUGAAGAUUUUAUUACCCCUCUAAAGUUCUUGGAUAAAGCAAGCUUCUUUGCAGAGAGCGGCCUCAGGUGGAGCUCACCUUUGAGGAGACUGAGAGGAGAGCUCUGCUUCUGAAGAAGUGGUCCUUGUACAAGCAGCAAGAGCGUAAGAUGGAGAGGGACACCAUCAGGGCUAUGCUAGAAGCCCAGCAGGAAGCUCUGGAGGAACUGCAACUGGAAUCCCCGAAGCUCCAUGCUGAGGCCAUCAAGCGGGAUCCUAACCUGUUCCCCUUUGAGAAGGAAGGGCCACAUUACACACCACCGAUCCCUAACUACCAACCCCCUGAAGGCAGGUACAAUGACAUCACCAAGGUGUACACACAAGUGGAGUUUAAGAGAUAGACUUGCAGGCUGCUAUCCUUAACAUGCUGCCCCUGAGAGUAGGAAUGA
Molecule: long non-coding RNA, 656 nt
Filed under: Homo sapiens (human)
Lineage: Eukaryota; Metazoa; Chordata; Mammalia; Primates; Hominidae
Description: HSALNT0275268
Source: RNAcentral